Triticum aestivum (bread wheat) is the source of this 4954-nucleotide long non-coding RNA. RefSeq lists it as uncharacterized. Lineage: Eukaryota; Viridiplantae; Streptophyta; Magnoliopsida; Poales; Poaceae. The record is from RefSeq and is a predicted model, not a curated record. The transcript has 2 exons.
ACAAAUGAUUUCCAUUGCACUUGCCGCCUGGCUCCAGCCAUACGCAGUACAGUGUGUACAGAUGCUGCCACUUUGCAUGCUAUCAGUCAGGAUGCUGAUCCGAUCCGAUCCAUAUCGUGUCAGGAAAUCUGAUCUGCACGUACGCCUUGCUCGAUCCGAUCCAUAUCGUGCCAGGAAAUCUGAUCUGCACGUACGCCUUGCUCGAUCGCCUGCUCUGCCGGGUCAUGCGCGCGUGGAAAAUGGCGCCAUGGCUCGCGACCAAGGUAAAGCACAACUUCCACCGGCCAGAGACUUGCAAGCCAGCCAACGAUUCUUCUUCUCUUCGGCCGGCCGUACGUGCGGCUCUUCGGCCGGCGACGUAUUUUGUGUGACGGCGCAGGCGACCAGCUGUUCCGAUGGGCACAGAUCUGAGGCGACACGCCCCCACUUGCGGCCGGCCAUGCCUCCCCACCAUUCAUGAACCGCCAACCCAAACAGUAGCUACUCCACCCAGCAAAGAGAUAGAUAAAUCCAUAUAAGUCCGUUAAAAAUGCAGAUUGUUUGACCGAAUAUCCAUUUCUGUGUCCAGACUCAUCUGCACCUGGUUAAGUGAAAAUUUAAAAAAAUUAAAAAAUUCUGAUUUCCUUUUUGCAUGGAAGACGAUUUGGUGUGUGAGGUCCGCUUCAAAUUUAAGAUCAUUUGCAUAUGAGCACAGUUUAAAAUCGAACCGGUAAUCGAAUCGCCGAGGCUACCGGUUCAGGUUUUUACCGGUCGGACCGCCGAUUCACCAGUUCGAUUGUCGAUAUUUUAAGUAAUAAAAUAACACAUAUUUUAUCAAUAAAUGCACGAAUCAAUAGAUAAUAAAUAUGUAAUCGGAGGUGACCGUCGGGCGUCUUGGACCUCCUACUCGGUUGCUCCUGGUCUGGACUCCGGAAUAGAAGGAGGCAACCGGAGGGAAGCCUGGUCGAUUUGACUGGAGCGGAGGGAGAUCGAAGUUGUAUGUACCAGUCUGACCAGGUGGCGGUAGCCCCUGUCCCCAACUGUCAAUAGAGGUGGUGCGGAUGGCGGUACACGGGAGUGCCGGUGCGGGCUGGUGACCUGGUGCUGCCAUGUAGUGCGGCGAGGGAGAAGUGACAUCGCCACGCCAUGGUGCCAAGUAGGGGUUGCACCGGAGGAGGCGCUGGCCCCCGAUAGGAUUUGUCCGUGGAUAAAAUCGAGAGAAAUGCUCCUAAAAUGGUUGAAACCCUACUAAAAGAGGGUUUUUCUUCCUUUUCCGAUUCUACAUCCAGCUUGUUCGCACGAAAACGAGUUGAUUGAGGGGUUUUCUAGAAACGAUAUCGAACCGACCGGUUUUUUGUGAACCACCCGGUUCAUCGGGUUUUUUCGGCUUGAUUGCUCAAUCAAUCCCCUGCAUUUAGAAAACUGUCAGGAUCGCAGGUUUUGGUUUCUUCUGGCCUGACCGUCGGUCCGGUCUGGUUUUUAAAACUUUGAAUAUGAGUAGCUCUCACUAAAUAAUAUAAAUUGAGUCAGAACAGCAGAUCAAGAGUAAACUGUUUCACAUACCCCAAAUUUGUCUUUUUUUCCGAGGGCUACUCAGUUGUCAAGAUGAGCUAAAAUUUUGAGCGGACCUCAGGCACCUAAGCAUCCUCCACGCAAAAAAGGAUAUUUUUAUUUUCUAAUUUUUUUUUAAUUUGCUGUUCACCAUGGGAGCCGAUGAGCUCGGGAGCCAAAUAGCCUCACUCAUUGUUUCAUAGCCUAGAUGGCGACAACUCGACCGGAAACUCGGACCGGAACAGCUCUUUUCUUUUCUUUUACAACAAGAUGACCCGGAUCUCUGCAUCUAAGAUGCACACAAUCAUUUUAUUAAAUAAAAGAAGUCCAAGUCAAUGAAAACAAAAUGGUUUACAACGAAACACGACCAUAUUGGUCGGAAAUCAAAUUAUAUAGCUUAUCCACAUAAUCUACUAAGCCAAGCAGACGCCAGCCUAGCUGCUCUGUUCCACGCUAGCUAGUCGCAAUUUUGAAGCAGGGCUAGAGUGUGACACGCGACUUUCAUGCCGUUCUUUAGUUGUAAGUUAAUUUUUUUCACACGGUCUAUUGCGGUUGGCUAGCUGUAAGUUUUACCUUAGCCUCGGCGUUCGGGUUUACCAAAAAUUCGGGUCGUGUAAUUCAGGUUAUAAAAAAAAUCAUGUUUUCAAAAAUAAAACCCGGACUUGCCCGAGUUUUUGCGACCCGGAAAUUCGGGGUCGGGUUCAUGUAAUCCCGAAUUGCAUCUUGUUGAGGCGAUGCAACAGGCGACACACAUGCUGAUAAGGGAGGCGCCGACGCGACACGCACAAUGACGAGGGAGGCGCCAAAGCGAAGCUGCACCACUACAAGCUGUUGAGGUAGGUAGCCGGCACAAUGCUGCCCCUUGCCGCUCUGGGGCGGGGAAGAUGGGAUGCGAAACAGGUGGCCGGCGCGGUGCCUCGCCACUACACGCUAUCGUGGGAGGCGGCCAGCAUGGUGUCUCACCACUGCACGCCAUCGAGGGAGAUGGCUCAUGCGUCACCUCUACACGCUGUUGAGGGAGGCGGUUGGCACGAUGCUGCCCCUUGCCGCUAUCAGGCAAAGACAUGGGAUGUGAGGGAGGCGGCGGCUAGGUCAGAAGCUGGAGGUUUGGAUCUUGCGAAUGGAUGUGUGUGCCUCUGUGCGUGAGAGAUUGGAUGUGGGCACACCAACACAUGGGUUGGGAGAGUGUGUGGCAUUGAAGAGGACAUGGGUUGCGGCAUAGUGUGGUGUUGGGCCUUAAUUUGCAGGGUUGGGCUAACAUUUCCCAUUAACUUCGGGUAGAUCGAGUACCGGGGUAUGAACCCGAAUUUUCUGAAUAAAAUUCGGUUUUCUGGAGUUACUACCCAAAUAGGUGCAUGGAUUUUUUGAGUUCUGGUAGUACUGGUUAGGGUUUGGGGUUCGGGUUUCACGUGUUAUGCCCAAGAUGAGUUCCACCUAUGCUAGGUUGUAUGGUUGUGUUGUUUCUUGUUGUCACUAUGGUCUUACUUGGUGGAGGUGGUAUGGUCUUCAUGGUGAAGACUGAAGAGAGGUGUUGGGUAUAUCACUCUGAUGUUGUUACACUUCACAGCGAUCUACUGGUGGUGUUUACGUGAGCCCAACAUGAACACCAUGAUUACAUGCGAGUAAGCCCAUAAGCUCUCGGCCAAUGAAGAACACUCUUACAAACGGGCCCGACAAACCAUCCACGGAGCCUUGAGCCACAACAACCCAUCAUUUCUAGGGAGCUUAGUAACUUAGUAGAUUCUGCUUGAUCUACAUAUCUAGGUUUGCUAAAAUUCAAUCAAUCAGUUCAUUCAUUGUGUAACUGCAUAUAUAAUGACUAAGACGCAUGUUUCCAAAGACCAUACUAAAGUGACAUAUGCAGUCGUGAUUCGCUUGGAUGCACAUAUCUGUGUCUUGUUUCUAGCCGGUUAUAUGGAUUCGUUGUUUUGUGAAAGUAAGGGCCUUGUAAGAUGGUUGUAUAAGCUCUAUUUUUACCUUUCUAGUAAGGCAUUUUCAACUCUUUAUGAAUGUGAUGGUUAUGUGCAUCUUGUUAUGCAAAGAUCGGGCAUUAGCUCAAUGACGGUCCAUAUUAUUUUGCGUACAAUAUCAUGUGCUAAAAAUAUGGGGCAUUCUAUAUCUAAAUAGCCAGUCUUCACUACUAAAUUUCUACGCAUGCGUGCUUUCACUUCAUCUCAAUCAAUGAUAGUCAUCCGGUUGAAUUUGUACGGCAUAAAAAAUCAAGCACAUACUCAUAUGCACACCAUACCACCUCAUCAAGCCAUGUAUGUGUUUUUUCCAGGGGAAUCGAGUCAUGCUAUUUUUGGUAAUGAAUGAUAGAUGUGUUGAACACUUGAAGCAAAAAACUAUAGUUCAAGCUUCACAUGUUUGUUAUAACUCGGCGUCACGUUAAAUUCAAUUCAAUGUUUCUAUUUUAUACAUCAUUUUGUUACAUGCUUCAUAUUUUUUUAUUGUUUUUAAUGUAAAGCAAGAACACUCUUGCAUUUGUUUAUUUUUCAUUAGUUUUUGUUGUUUCUAAGCACAUGUUUAUGCAUUUGUUGUAGCCUGGUUUGCGCGGCCGAGAACGAGGCAUCAUCUAUUUCUUAGUAUUGGUAGGCUAGCCAGCGAAGCUAAGCUACCUGCCAUGUCUAUUAGUGCGAGUUUUGUACUUUUGAAGUAGCUUGUUGCAAAUAAAACAGAGGUGGUUUCCAGGGAGCUUUAUACAAACAACAAGGAUAGGCCAAGAGAAAGUUGCACAUGGAGUCGUGGAGGGGAAGAAAUCACCGCCGCAAAUUGAACUUUAUAUGUCGAAUGCAUUGAACUUCCAAGAAAUGGUAUCCAACCAAAGCAUGACGCCAGAAAGAAGACACAUGUUGUAUUAUGCCUGGAUUGCCACCAUAGUAUACACUAUCGAUGUGUGGCUUCCCUGUCACCUCAGUGCCUUGUUUUGGGUGGCUGAGGCAUGGAGACAAUGCUUGGCGCUGGGUAGCAGCAAUCCAUCGUGGAGCUGGUGUGCGUCGACUGUGCCGGUAUGCAGGUUGACGAUGUAGAUGGCCGAGCCAUUGAGGCACAUGCUCGACGGAGUUGGUGGCGACAGAAAGUGGCGACAGUGAUGAAGUGAUGGCUCAUGGCGUAUCGUCUGGGGGCAGGUUGCCAUGUCCAGAUUUACAAUCGAUGUACACUCGCGAUGUAGGCAUGAGAUCGUCGAAGCGUUUCCGGUGGGGUAUGUUGGUGGUCCCUUCUCUCGUCAGUUUACCGUGACCUAUGUAAUAUAUGCGUUGAUGGAUGCUCUUGGCUCCAAAGACGCCUCUCUAUGGUUGGACUGUCUACUUCAUGUUUGCACAAUUUUCAGUUUGUAUGGUUGUGUCCAUGUUCCACUUGUGUGCACUUAAACAUCUUUGUUGCGUCGACAAUUGUUUGGCCUGAAUCAUUGUUACUUUUUUCA